RNAcentral lists this small nucleolar RNA (67 nucleotides) under Euglena gracilis. Its description in RNAcentral is "Eg-m11 box C/D methylation-guide snoRNA". Lineage: Eukaryota; Euglenozoa; Euglenophyceae; Euglenales; Euglenaceae. The record is from RNAcentral.
UGUGAUGCUUGGAAUCCAAAUCACUCCACUCUGAUAUCUGCUGACAGCUCAUCAAAUCACACUGAUA